Molecule: ribosomal RNA, 490 nt
Filed under: uncultured bacterium
Lineage: Bacteria
Description: partial 16S ribosomal RNA
Rfam family: Bacterial small subunit ribosomal RNA
Source: RNAcentral
AUUGAACGCUGGCGGCAGGCCUAACACACGCAAGUCGAACGGUAACAGGAAGCAGCUUGCUGCUUUGCUGACGAGUGGCGGACGGGUGAGUAAUGUCUGGGAAACUGCCUGAUGGAGGGGGAUAACUACUGGAAACGGUAGCUAAUACCGCAUAACGUCGCAAGACCAAAGAGGGGGACCUUCGGGCCUCUUGCCAUCGGAUGUGCCCAGAUGGGAUUAGCUAGUAGGUGGGGUAAAGGCUCACCUAGGCGACGAUCCCUAGCUGGUCUGAGAGGAUGACCAGCCACACUGGAACUGAGACACGGUCCAGACUCCUACGGGAGGCAGCAGUGGGGAAUAUUGCACAAUGGGCGCAAGCCUGAUGCAGCCAUGCCGCGUGUAUGAAGAAGGCCUUCGGGUUGUAAAGUACUUUCAGCGGGGAGGAAGGGAGUAAAGUUAAUACCUUUGCUCAUUGACGUUACCCGCAGAAGAAGCACCGGCUAACUCCGUG